Molecule: ribosomal RNA, 253 nt
Filed under: uncultured bacterium
Lineage: Bacteria
Description: partial 16S ribosomal RNA
Rfam family: Bacterial small subunit ribosomal RNA
Source: RNAcentral
UACGUAGGGGGCAAGCGUUGUCCGGAUUUAUUGGGCGUAAAGGGCGUGUAGGCGGCCUGUUAAGUCGGGGGUGAAAAUCCAGCGCUCAACGCUGGGACUGCCUCCGAAACUGAUGGGCUUGAGUGCUCUAGAGGGCAGUGGAAUUGCCGGUGUAGCAGUGAAAUGCGUAGAGAUCGGCAGGAACACCAGUGGCGAAGGCGACUGCCUGGGGAGUAACUGACGCUGAGGCGCGAAAGCUGGGGGAGCAAACGGG